CUGGCUCAGGAUGAACGCUAGCUACAGGCUUAACACAUGCAAGUCGAGGGGCAGCAUGAACUUAGCUUGCUAAGUUUGAUGGCGACCGGCGCACGGGUGAGUAACACGUAUCCAACCUGCCGAUGACUCGGGGAUAGCCUUUCGAAAGAAAGAUUAAUACCCGAUGGCAUAGUUCUUCCGCAUGGUAGAACUAUUAAAGAAUUUCGGUCAUCGAUGGGGAUGCGUUCCAUUAGGUUGUUGGCGGGGUAACGGCCCA
Molecule: ribosomal RNA, 256 nt
Filed under: Bacteroides sp. AR29
Lineage: Bacteria; Pseudomonadati; Bacteroidota; Bacteroidia; Bacteroidales; Bacteroidaceae
Description: 16S rRNA. Bacterial SSU
Rfam family: Bacterial small subunit ribosomal RNA
Source: RNAcentral